ACUCCUACGGGAGGCAGCAGUAGGGAAUCUUCCACAAUGGGCGCAAGCCUGAUGGAGCAACACCGCGUGAGUGAAGAAGGGUUUCGGCUCGUAAAGCUCUGUUGUUAAAGAAGAACACGUAUGAGAGUAACUGUUCAUACGUUGACGGUAUUUAACCAGAAAGUCACGGCUAACUACGUGCCAGCAGCCGCGGUAAUACGUAGGUGGCAAGCGUUAUCCGGAUUUAUUGGGCGUAAAGAGAGUGCAGGCGGUUUUCUAAGUCUGAUGUGAAAGCCUUCGGCUUAACCGGAGAAGUGCAUCGGAAACUGGAUAACUUGAGUGCAGAAGAGGGUAGUGGAACUCCAUGUGUAGCGGUGGGAUGCGUAGAUAUAUGGAAGAACACCAGUGGCGAAGGCGGCUACCUGGUCCGCAACUGACGCUGAGACUCGAAAGCAU
RNAcentral lists this ribosomal RNA (435 nucleotides) under uncultured bacterium. Its description in RNAcentral is "bacterial SSU rRNA". It matches the Rfam family "Bacterial small subunit ribosomal RNA", at positions 335 to 762 of the family's 1533-position model. The record is from RNAcentral.